Molecule: ribosomal RNA, 449 nt
Filed under: uncultured bacterium
Lineage: Bacteria
Description: bacterial SSU rRNA
Rfam family: Bacterial small subunit ribosomal RNA
Source: RNAcentral
GAUGAACGCUAGCUACAGGCUUAACACAUGCAAGUCGAGGGGCAGCAUGGUCUUAGCUUGCUAAGGCCGAUGGCGACCGGCGCACGGGUGAGUAACACGUAUCCAACCUGCCGUCUACUCUUGGACAGCCUUCUGAAAGGAAGAUUAAUACAAGAUGGCAUCAUGAGUUCACAUGUUCACAUGAUUAAAGGUAUUCCGGUAGACGAUGGGGAUGCGUUCCAUUAGGUAGUAGGCGGGGUAACGGCCCACCUAGCCGACGAUGGAUAGGGGUUCUGAGAGGAAGGUCCCCCACAUUGGAACUGAGACACGGUCCAAACUCCUACGGGAGGCAGCAGUGAGGAAUAUUGGUCAAUGGGCGAGAGCCUGAACCAGCCAAGUUAGCGUGAAAGGAUGAAGGUCCUACGGAUUGUAAACUCUUUUAANACGGAAUAAAGUAUCCUACGUGUAGG